This 946-nucleotide long non-coding RNA is filed under the name Musa acuminata (dwarf banana). Its description in RNAcentral is "long non-coding RNA (MACU_LNC004377)". The record is from RNAcentral. Lineage: Eukaryota; Viridiplantae; Streptophyta; Magnoliopsida; Zingiberales; Musaceae.
GCAGAUCAAGAGUUCAUGGCAGAAAAAUCUCAUAAAACUUCAAGAUUUCAAGGUCCUUUUGUUGCCUUACCUACUAUUUCUGUUCCUACUAAAAGGCAAGGUUCGUCGUAUCGUAACAUAUCGCUUGGUACGGGCAAUAUGUACCAAUCCAAUAGGGGACCGAUAUGGGCAGUACAUAUCGAUUUGUUGGUAUGCCCCACCAUACCGUUUGUCGGUACAUUAGUAUGGUUCGGUACAUACCGUACCAAUAACCGAUCGGUACAUCGGUACGGAUCGGUAAGAUAAAACCAUGUUAAAAGGUUUAAGUUAGUUAUUCAUUUGGAAUUAUGAUAUGUCAUAUUUAUUUUAUUAGUUGAGUGACAAUACUUUGACAAGAUACAAGUACCAGGUAAUUUGAAUUUUGAACUUUAUUUUCUUUCUUGUGGACAAAAAGAUCUCAGUUCUGAUAGGGUGUAGUUGACAACACAGCUUCAACAGGUUCCAAUAAUUGCCAUGCCAAGGGACACGUGAUUGUGUGGCACAUGUCAAANNNNNNNNNNNNNNNNNNNNCUCAGUUCUGAUAGGGUGUAGUUGACAACACAGCUUCAACAGGUUCCAAUAAUUGCCAUGCCAAGGGACACGUGAUUGUGUGGCACAUGUCAAAACAUAGCAUACCAAAAAGGUACCAGUAUACACCAUAUCCACUGGUACAAAAGAUGCCGACAUGUAUAUAUAGGUAGACCAAUAAUCUCAACAAUUUUGAAUCUCUUAUACUAACCUUAGUUUAUGUAACUAAAAUGAUCUUAUCACCAUCUGAUAUCUCAUAAACAUAUUUUAAAAUAUAUGGGGGGGAAACCAACUCAAGAUAGAAACUUUUGACAAGAUACAAGUACCAGGUAAUUUGAAUUUUGAACUUUAUUUUCUUUCUUAUGGACAAAAAGAUCUCAGUUCCGAUAGAGUGUAGUUG